CCUACGGGUGGCAGCAGUGAGGAAUAUUGGUCAAUGGACGAGAGUCUGAGCCAGCCAAGUCGCGUGAAGGAUGACUGCCCUAUGGGUUGUAAACUUCUUUUAUAAAGGAAUAAAACGAGGCACGUGUGCCUUUUUGCAUGUACUUUAUGAAUAAGGAUCGGCUAACUCCGUGCCAGCAGCCGCGGUAAUACGGAGGAUCCGAGCGUUAUCCGGAUUUAUUGGGUUUAAAGGGUGCGUAGAUGGGUUGUUAAGUCAGUUGUGAAAGUUUGCGGCUCAACCGUAAAAUUGCAAUUGAUACUGGCAGUCUUGAGUACAGGUGAGGUAAGCGGAAUUCGUGGUGUAGCGGUGAAAUGCUUAGAUAUCACGAAGAACUCCGAUUGCGAAGGCAGCUCACUGGACCGCAACUGACACUGAGGCUCGAAAGUGUGGGUAUCAAACAGGAUUAGAUACCCGGGUAGUC
RNAcentral lists this ribosomal RNA (460 nucleotides) under uncultured bacterium. RNAcentral's name for it is "partial 16S ribosomal RNA". It matches the Rfam family "Bacterial small subunit ribosomal RNA", at positions 338 to 795 of the family's 1533-position model. The record is from RNAcentral.